AUUGAACGCUGGCGGCAUGCUUUACACAUGCAAGUCGAACGGCAGCGCGGGCUUCGGCCUGGCGGCGAGUGGCGAACGGGUGAGUAAUGCAUCGGAACGUGCCCAGUAGUGGGGGAUAGCCCGGCGAAAGCCGGAUUAAUACCGCAUACGACCUGCGGGUGAAAGCGGGGGACCGAAAGGCCUCGCGCUAUUGGAGCGGCCGAUGUCGGAUUAGCUAGUUGGUGGGGUAAAGGCUUACCAAGGCGACGAUCCGUAGCUGGUCUGAGAGGACGACCAGCCACACGGGGACUGAGACACGGCCCAGACUCCUACGGGAGGCAGCAGUGGGGAAUGUUGGACAACGGGGGCAACCCUGAUCCAGCCAUGCCGCGUGCGGGAAGAAGGCCUUCGGGUUGUAAACCGCUUUUGUGCGGGAAGAAAUCCUCUGGGCUAAUACCACGGGGGGAUGACGGUACCGGAAGAAUAAGCACCGGCUAACUACGUG
RNAcentral lists this ribosomal RNA (484 nucleotides) under uncultured bacterium. RNAcentral describes it as "partial 16S ribosomal RNA". It matches the Rfam family "Bacterial small subunit ribosomal RNA", at positions 28 to 507 of the family's 1533-position model. The record is from RNAcentral.